GUGAAAAGCCUUCAGUUGUGCUGAGAUAUUACCUUCAUUUUUUCUGGGCUCAACCAGAGAGGACUUUGGAGGAAAAAAGUCAAAGAUGAGCCUAGAGGGAGAGCCACAGAACUCGAGAGGGUGCACACCGUGAAGGCCGGGGAGGUCAUCUGACCACCCUCCCCCGGCGGGCGGGAGAGGAAAACCAAGUGGAGCUGCCUGACCCCGUGACCUACCUGCGGCGCAGAUCCUCGGCCACAGCCGCCCGGCAGCUGAACAGUUUGUGAACUGGUGCCCCCUUCACACAGCGCUGCAAUCUGCGUGAUUCAAGAGCUGAGGAGGAAGUUGAGGCUGAAAGCUGCUUCUCCACACCUCACACACAGGAGUUGGAGCAAACAGCAAAAAUCCAUUUCUGGAUUCAUGGCUGGACCAAGAACCGCACUGGUCAAAGAAAUCUCACAUUAAGCCUAUUUCACGAUAAGGGCAUAAAACGAAUUAAUCAUCACCAUCAUCAUCAGCCUCAUCACCACUACCAUCAGGGUUGCACCUCAUUGCCAUUAAAGGAGCUCCCAACAGUUUAUUUAACAAACUGCUAACCCA
Zalophus californianus (California sea lion) is the source of this 579-nucleotide long non-coding RNA. RefSeq lists it as uncharacterized. The transcript has 3 exons. NCBI's taxonomy places the organism in Eukaryota, Metazoa, Chordata, Mammalia, Carnivora, Otariidae. The record is from RefSeq and is a predicted model, not a curated record.